Mesocricetus auratus (golden hamster) is the source of this 953-nucleotide long non-coding RNA. RefSeq lists it as uncharacterized. NCBI's taxonomy places the organism in Eukaryota, Metazoa, Chordata, Mammalia, Rodentia, Cricetidae. The record is from RefSeq and is a predicted model, not a curated record. The transcript has 2 exons.
CGCGUCUGCGGUGCUUGUUGGUCGGUAAGAACUCAAGUUUGAUUGGUGUCGGACAGAUCUACAUUUUUCUGGCCUUUGGACCAAAAUAGGAGCUGCCAGGACCUGGUCCGGAAAUGAGGCUCUACUUCCGGAAGCAACACCCGCUCAGGUCCGGGGAGGGGGAGGGCGAAUGCCGUCCAUUUCGGCUCUCGUCUGGUUUUAAUGCUGGCAACUGUAGAAUCCGAGAGGGAAAAGAGUAGGCGAGCCUUGAGAGCAGUAAAGACACUGGAAGGAAGGCGACGGAGCGCCUAGGACUGGGUUAGGAGCACCCCGGCGCUGGCUGGGCACCGGCCGCAGCUGCCCCGCUGGCCGGGGACGUGGACUCCAGGACCGGUUAGGUGGAGCUGCUGUCCUUACUUCCCGGUACCCAUUUCCGAAGGAAGCUGGCCCCUUGAUGUUUCUGGGGGUCCAGGAGCAAUGGAAAGGCUUUAUGGGAGGCUUCCUUAUUGGACUUGCAGCUCCUCGCUAUGCCUACCUGCAACCGUGGGGGCUGUACUCCAGACAAAGAUGUUUGUGCCGUACGCAUGUUGAAUUUCCUUUUCCCAGACUUGCCCACUGCAGUCAAGCGCCUACAUACACACUUGCUUCUUUCUCAUAGAGUAAGGUUCUUGAGUGUUUAAAAUUUCCUGAAACUCACUCGGUAGUCCAGGCUGGCACCCGCCUCUGCCCCUCAAGUGCUUGGGAUUAAAGGCGUGCACCAUCACCGCCUGGCAAGCUGUAACUUUUUUUAGUCUGGAAUUCAGUGUAUUUAACAGUCUACAUCAUCCUUUUGAAUCAGUUUGUAAUUGUGUGUAAUUUUUUUUCUUGUACAACUCCCCUUUCCCUACCACCUCUCCCCGCCAACCUGUACUGUUCUUCACAUCUUUUUAUUUCUUUUUCCCACUGUAAUAUAAAUCCUAUUUAUGACUCUUCAA